UAGCAUAAAUUUCUGAACUAA
This 21-nucleotide non-coding RNA is filed under the name Caenorhabditis elegans. Lineage: Eukaryota; Metazoa; Nematoda; Chromadorea; Rhabditida; Rhabditidae. The record is from RNAcentral.